GAGGGAACCAGAGCAAUAAAAAAAACCUUACUCAGACCCCUUCAUGAUAUGGAGCAAUAAUACAUAACUAGGCACUGCGCUAUUUGCAACAGAAACUUUUCAGGGAGUUGGAAGGGUCGCCGAGGACCCCUGCAAUUCAGGAGCAGUUAUAUGUGGAAUAUCCCACAAUCCGAAGCAUUGCAGUCAGAAAGCCCCUCUCCUGGGAAGAUGGAUCCUUAAGUGCCUGCAGAAGCCGGGAGUACGCCGAAAGUUUUCCGCAGGUGUUUGAAAUGUGAUCCCCGAAGCUGCCUGUUGAAUGCCUAUUGGUGGAGCCAUCCUCAGAUUGGGCCAAUGACACGACAGGCUUUGCUUCUGCGGCUCAAAGGAGCGCCGAUUAGGUCUCUCCCGCUGCUGAGCGCUAAGAUUGAAGCAGGUCCUGCGGACGGUGAUUCGGAGCGCAGAAAAAGCAUAUAAUAGAAGAAAGAAUAAGAAAACAAGACCAGAUAUACAAUUAUACAAAAUAAUGGCUGAAAACCGUAAAGAGGAGGAAGAGAGGGCAAUAGCAGAAACUGGCCCGGAGCCUUCAGAGGGGGGGGAAGCUGCCCACAGUGCUGACCCUCCUGUUGUUGGGGCACAAGUCAAGGGGCAUUCAUGUCCGCAACAAGCCAUGACAGACUCUGCAGAGUCAGAAGACAUGGAAGAAUCAUGUGACAAUGAAGCAACGAUAAAAGAAGCAGAAAGGAUCUUGGGACUAUUGAAAGUCUUUUAUAGAGAAGGCGGUGAGAGUCCCAUAAACUUCUUUAAGUUUGUGACUGAUCCAAAUUCUUUUGCGCAAACCCUGGAUAACAUGUAUCAUGUUUUAUACUUGGUAAGACAUGGGCUUGCAAGAAUAAAGGCAGAUGAGGAUGAGAUUCCUGUUUUGGAACCUUUAGAUCCAGGACAAGGCAGUUAUGUUCCGCCACAAACCUCAGGCCUCAUUCCAUUGAGUAUUGCAUGCUGGGAGCAGAUAGUGGAACUUUUUGAAAUUUCACAGCCCAUGAUUCCACCUGCCCCAGAGGCAUAGGCAGGAUAUGAGCCCAUCUGAAUGCAUCCUUAAGAUUUGUAAGUUUAAAAAAAUGCUAUGUAGUAUAUUUCUUUCAUAAUAUUUCAUGAAUGUGAAAUAAAUGAUGUUAUGAAACCCUGCUUUUAAGUCUAUAAACUAAAUAGAAGUAAAUGUCA
Long non-coding RNA from Podarcis raffonei (Aeolian wall lizard), 1197 nucleotides. RefSeq lists it as uncharacterized. The record is from RefSeq and is a predicted model, not a curated record. Lineage: Eukaryota; Metazoa; Chordata; Lepidosauria; Squamata; Lacertidae. The transcript has 3 exons.